RNAcentral lists this microRNA precursor (56 nucleotides) under Triops cancriformis. RNAcentral describes it as "microRNA tcf-mir-317 precursor". Its record names the gene tcf-mir-317. The record is from miRBase by way of RNAcentral. Lineage: Eukaryota; Metazoa; Arthropoda; Branchiopoda; Notostraca; Triopsidae.
CGGGAGCCACCCUGAGUUCACUUGGACUUGAAAAGUGAACACAGCUGGUGGUAUCU